This is a non-coding RNA of Scheffersomyces coipomensis, 101 nucleotides long. NCBI's taxonomy places the organism in Eukaryota, Fungi, Ascomycota, Pichiomycetes, Serinales, Debaryomycetaceae. The record is from the annotation of a RefSeq genome assembly.
GGGAGUGUGGUCUAGUGGUAUGAUUCUCGCUUUGGGUUUCGACCUUCCGAGGUCGAGGACAAACAUGCGAGAGGCCCAGGGUUCAAUUCCCUGCUCUCCCC